GAUGAACGCUGGCGGCGUGCCUAAUACAUGCAAGUCGAGCGAACAGAUGAGGAGCUUGCUCCUCUGACGUUAGCGGCGGACGGGUGAGUAACACGUGGAUAACCUACCUAUAAGACUGGGAUAACUUCGGGAAACCGGAGCUAAUACCGGAUAAUAUAUUGAACCGCAUGGUUCAAUAGUGAAAGACGGUUUUGCUGUCACUUAUAGAUGGAUCCGCGCCGCAUUAGCUAGUUGGGAAGGUAACGGCUUACCAAGGCGACGAUGCGUAGCCGACCUGAGAGGGUGAUCGGCCACACUGGAACUGAGACACGGUCCAGACUCCUACGGGAGGCAGCAGUAGGGAAUCUUCCGCAAUGGGCGAAAGCCUGACGGAGCAACGCCGCGUGAGUGAUGAAGGUCUUCGGAUCGUAAAACUCUGUUAUUAGGGAAGAACAAAUGUGUAAGUAACUAUGCACGUCUUGACGGUACCUAAUCAGAAAGCCACGGCUAACUACGUG
This 497-nucleotide ribosomal RNA is filed under the name uncultured bacterium. RNAcentral's name for it is "partial 16S ribosomal RNA". It matches the Rfam family "Bacterial small subunit ribosomal RNA", at positions 28 to 507 of the family's 1533-position model. The record is from RNAcentral.